GGCAACUUUGGUUUAUUUAACAAAUGCUCAGUGAGAUAUAUUCAUUAGUCACUGCAUUUAAUAACUGUCACAUAACUUUCUAUUUAUUGUACAUGAAGUACAUGGAAAAAAUGCUGAGAAAAGGAUCACACCCAUUUAACAACUUAGUAGUGAUAAAUUCUAGCAUACAGGAGCUCCUCAUGAUAGCCAGCAUCAUCCUGUCACAAGGAAAGUCCCAUAAUUACAACUCUCCACAGCAUGGGCAAGAUGAUGACAGCUCCAGCAGCAGCAGCAGCUCUGACAGUGAUUCUGGCAAGACUCACAGUGGUGAUAAGAAGAAAAAGGAAAAGAAAUGACUUUGAGGCAGCCCACACCUUCUAACUGAAUUGAAGUUCAACUAGUGAAGGGAAUUUGACGGAGA
RNAcentral lists this long non-coding RNA (400 nucleotides) under Notechis scutatus (mainland tiger snake). Its description in RNAcentral is "lncRNA (ENSNSUG00000016580.1)". The record is from RNAcentral. Lineage: Eukaryota; Metazoa; Chordata; Lepidosauria; Squamata; Elapidae.